UAUUUACAAAGUUGCUACAUAAAAGCACAUUUGAAUACGUAUUCCAGGUACCCUGCUCAAAUUAAAUUUUUACAGGUGAGGUAUUUAAUUUUCUCUAUUUAGUGUUUUUAACAGCACCUUAUACUGUAAAAUCCAGUAUUGCAAUGCUUUUACUAUUUCUGUGAAUUGUCUGAAUCCAGAAAAGCUUAAUGAGACACACUGAGUAUUAGAAGGAUUAGUGUGAAAUUUAAUUUGAGUUAAUCUGCUGUACACAGAAGAAUCAUGCAGAAAAGAAUGUAAGCAGGAAUUACCUGUUUUAAAGUACAGCAUCACUAAAUAUUCAGCUCUAUGUAUUUAUUUUAUGAGUUGUGGAGAGAUCUGACCUUGUGACUCUGCUGUACUUAUUUUGGAUUUUACAGUUUCAAGGCUCCUGUUACUUUAUGGCUUUUUUAAAUGGUUUUCAUAUUUUUUCAGGAAAAAAUGUCUGGCUUGUCAACAUUGCAGUUUGUGUCACAGCUAUCUCUAAGGUUCUGUUUCUCUGAUUUCAGGAAUAGAAGAAUACUGUACAGUUUUUACUGUGUUCAAAUGCAGUAUGUGGAAACCACAAACAUUUUCCCACCCACAGCAGGAAUAUGUAGGUUAAAGUGGGAUUUCAAAGACAUGAAUUUUUCAAGACUGGCUGUCAUACAAAUAGAGUGUCAUAGAGUUUCAGCAUCUGUGGAAGAGGAAACAAAAACUAGCAAACGUGAUAGAAAAUAGCAAAGGAAAACUAACCAAAAGAAGUGUUGAACUAAAUCUGCAAUGAUGGUUCUUUUUAACUGACAAGCUGGUAUUUGACAGCCUCUACGACUUCAUCACCCACUACUGAGAAACACCAAUGAGGUACAACGGACUUGAGAUGAGGCUGACAGAGCCGGUGCCUCGGUCCAACACUCACAGCAAUGUGGACUGGGUGCCGCGGGACGGCACAAGAGGGACAAGCCCAGCUCCAGCACCAUCUACUUCGGGGCAGGAUGGAAGAUCCAGCACUGCUGCACGCAUUGGCAAGAGGGUCACGUUUAAUAAGGCACUUGACCAAGUGCAUAUUGUUCAUCACACAAAAUAAAAGUUCUUGUUCUGCACUAA
Molecule: long non-coding RNA, 1104 nt
Organism: Gallus gallus (chicken)
Lineage: Eukaryota; Metazoa; Chordata; Aves; Galliformes; Phasianidae
Source: Ensembl